This 208-nucleotide unclassified non-coding RNA is filed under the name uncultured fungus. RNAcentral's name for it is "sequence contains ITS1". Lineage: Eukaryota; Fungi. The record is from RNAcentral.
UUAGUUUAUUUAACUAUUUUCAGAUUUAACAUGGUUAAAAGAGUUUGUUAAGGGCUACUGACGGGCGCUGGCCAGAGGUCGAAGACCCCCGGCGGUCCGGUGAAAAACGGGCCCGCCAAAGCAACAUGGUAGUUACACAAAGGGUUGGAGAUCGGGCCUGGAAGACCCUAACUCAGUAAUGAUCCUUCCGCAGGUUCACCUACGGAAA